GACGAACGCUGGCGGCGUGCUUAACACAUGCAAGUCGAACGGAAAGGCCCUGCUUUUGUGGGGUGCUCGAGUGGCGAACGGGUGAGUAACACGUGAGUAACCUGCCCUUGACUUUGGGAUAACUUCAGGAAACUGGGGCUAAUACCGGAUAGGAGCUCCUGCUGCAUGGUGGGGGUUGGAAAGUUUCGGCGGUUGGGGAUGGACUCGCGGCUUAUCAGCUUGUUGGUGGGGUAGUGGCUUACCAAGGCUUUGACGGGUAGCCGGCCUGAGAGGGUGACCGGCGACAUUGGGACUGAGAUACGGCCCAGACUGCUACGGGAGGCAGCAGUGGUGAAUAUUGCACAAUGGGCGGAAGCCUGAUGCAGCAACGCCGCGUGCGGGAUGACGGCUUUCGGGUUGUAAACCGCUUUCGACUGUGACGAAGCGUGAGUGACGGUAAUGGGUAAAGAAGCACCGGCUAACUACGUG
This 468-nucleotide ribosomal RNA is filed under the name uncultured bacterium. RNAcentral describes it as "partial 16S ribosomal RNA". It matches the Rfam family "Bacterial small subunit ribosomal RNA", at positions 28 to 507 of the family's 1533-position model. The record is from RNAcentral.